AAAGUCGUAACAAGGUUUCCGUAGGUGAACCUGCGGAAGGAUCAUUACAGAGUUCAUGCCCUCACGGGUAGACCUCCCACCCUUGUGUAUUUAUACCAUGUUGCUUUGGCAGGCUGCUGGACCCCUCGGGGGACAGCCUCGGCGCCCUCGGGCCUGAGAGUCGCCUGCCGGAGGCCAAACAAACUCUGAAUUAUUAGUGUCGUCUGAGUACUAUAUCUUAAUAGUUAAAACUUUCAACAACGGAUCUCUUGGUUCUG
Molecule: unclassified non-coding RNA, 257 nt
Filed under: Ascomycota sp.
Lineage: Eukaryota; Fungi; Ascomycota
Description: partial contains small subunit ribosomal RNA, internal transcribed spacer 1, and 5.8S ribosomal RNA
Rfam family: Eukaryotic small subunit ribosomal RNA (bases 1-47)
Source: RNAcentral